This 472-nucleotide ribosomal RNA is filed under the name Aerococcus christensenii. RNAcentral's name for it is "bacterial SSU rRNA". It matches the Rfam family "Bacterial small subunit ribosomal RNA", at positions 38 to 495 of the family's 1533-position model. The record is from RNAcentral. Lineage: Bacteria; Bacillati; Bacillota; Bacilli; Lactobacillales; Aerococcaceae.
GGCGGCGUGCCUAAUACAUGCAAGUCGAGCGAACAGAGAAAGUGCUUGCACUUUCAAAGUUAGCGGCGGACGGGUGAGUAACACGUAAGGAACCUACCGAUAAGCGGGGGACAACAUCCGGAAACGGGUGCUAAUACCGCAUAGGAAGUUUGUUCGCAUGAACAAACUUAGAAAGAUGGCUCUGCUAUCACUUAUCGAUGGCCUUGCGGUGCAUUAACUAGUUGGCGAGGUAACGGCUCACCAAGGUGAUGAUGCAUAGCCGACCUGAGAGGGUAAUCGGCCACAUUGGGACUGAGACACGGCCCAAACUCCUACGGGAGGCAGCAGUAGGGAAUCUUCCGCAAUGGACGCAAGUCUGACGGAGCAACGCCGCGUGAGUGAAGAAGGUUUUCGGAUCGUAAAACUCUGUUGUAAGAGAAGAACAAAUUGUAGAGUAACUGCUACAGUCUUGACGUAUCUACCAGAAGCCACG